CAUUACUGAGUGAGGGCCCCCGGCCCGACCUCCAACCCUUUGUAAGCCGACCCUGUUGCCUCGGGGGACUCCGGCGUCUUCGGGCGCCGGGCCCCCGGUGGACCCCCCAACUCUGCGUCUUUGCGUCUGAGUCUUGAAUGAUAAAUCAAUUAAAACUUUCAACAACGGAUCUCUUGGUUCUGGCAUCGAUGAAGAACGCAGCGAAAUGCGAUAGGUAAUGUGAAUUGCAGAAUUCAGUGAAUCAUCGAAUCUUUGAACGCACAUUGCGCCCCUUGGUAUUCCGGGGGGCAUGCCUGUUCGAGCGUCAUUACACCCCUCAAGCCUCGCUUGGUGUUGGGCGUCGCGGAGAUCCGCGUGCCCCAAAGUGCCUCGUGCCCGGCGGGUCGUCCGUCCCCGAGCGUUGUGACAUCUCAGUUCGCUCCGGUGGAUGCGGCGGCCGCGCCGUUAAACCCCCCUUUCAGGUUGACCUCGGAUCAGGUAGGGAUACCCGCUGAACUUAAGCAUAUCAAUAAGCGGAGGAAAAGAAACCAACAGGGAUUGCCCUAGUAACGGCGAGUGAAGCGGCAACAGCUCAAAUUUGAAAUCUGGCGCAAGCCCGAGUUGUAAUUUGUAGAGGAUGCUUCGGGGCAGCGGCCGGUCUAAGUCCCUUGGAACAGGGCGUCAUAGAGGGUGAGAAUCCCGUAUGCGACCGGCUGGCACCCCACACGUAGCUCCUUCGACGAGUCGAGUUGUUUGGGAAUGCAGCUCUAAAUGGGAGGUAAAUUUCUUCUAAAGCUAAAUACCGGCCAGAGACCGAUAGCGCACAAGUAGAGUGAUCGAAAGAUGAAAAGCACUUUGGAAAGAGAGUUAAACAGCACGUGAAAUUGUUGAAAGGGAAGCGCAUGCUACCAGACUUGCCGGCGGCGUUCACCCGGUCUUCUGACCGGGCCACUCGCCGUCGGCAGGCCAGCAUCACUUGGGGCUGCCGCAGAAAGGCGGAGGGA
RNAcentral lists this ribosomal RNA (983 nucleotides) under Dothideomycetes sp. genotype e52ss010. RNAcentral describes it as "eukaryotic LSU rRNA". The stretch from base 464 to 983 matches the Rfam family "Eukaryotic large subunit ribosomal RNA", at positions 1 to 533 of the family's 3401-position model. The record is from RNAcentral. Lineage: Eukaryota; Fungi; Ascomycota; Dothideomycetes.